Molecule: non-coding RNA, 1093 nt
Organism: Peromyscus maniculatus bairdii (prairie deer mouse)
Lineage: Eukaryota; Metazoa; Chordata; Mammalia; Rodentia; Cricetidae
Source: RefSeq, a predicted model, not a curated record
GCGCGGAGCGCAUCUUUUAAUCCGAAGGCAGCCUUCUUCCCCACUGAGAUUGUAUGAACCGUUUCUCCCGAUGCUCAAGGCAUCCCUCAGGCCUACUGGAUGCGGGUCCCUGGAGAGGAGCUUCAGGGAUAUCAUAAGGACUGAGCUUGAGGCUCUCCCCAACCAGUUGGAGGUGAACAGGGACAUUACUGCCGCCCCCAAGCCCCAGUCACCCCACCUUCUUUUAACUUGAAGCUGGCUAAAGAGAGAUGCCGAGAGACUCUGACUGGGUGAGGGCAGGAUAGCUCCUGUUAGGUUCCUGGGUAGGCAGAGGGGUGACUUGUUUUCCUGCCUGUACAGGGGUUUUUACAAGCCCCGCCCUGCCACCCCGCACCUGUCAACACCCAAGUAACCGUGUUCGCGACAUAACCAACAAAGUAGAAACUUGGACUUCUCCCUGCGUGAGAAUACAGAACAGAUGUCUCCGUGUGUCUUACAUCCAGCACACUAUGCAACUGUGCUUUGAUUAAAUGUUGCUGGGUGGGGGGUGGAUGACACCUUUCAGGACCCCCAGAUUUGGAAUCAGACAUCAGCACUUUCUCAACAAGAACACUGGCCUUCGGAGCUUCUGAUAUUCCCGCAUCGAGCCGCUGAGUGUGUGCCAGAAGGAGCAAGCGCCCAUCCUCCGCUCUCUGAAAGUUUACACCUUGCUUAAGGAAAACAUCCAAGAGAACACUUCCCGGCCUUCCAAAGCAGAGAGAGGUCUUUCAAGGCAGAGGUUGUUUAAAGACAGAAGGAGCAACGAAAAAGAAACUGGAUUGCAAAAUGAAAUGAAGAAAAGAGCCCCCAAAUUUCCGGAUCACAACCACCCCUCUCACUCCUGACUCCAAGAUUUUGUACUUGAAACCUGGUCCUCCCAGGGCCGACCUGCCGCGCACCCUUAAUUCCCUUGCAAGCUCCGAAUUGCUGAGGCCAAGUGUGGGUCUAGGGCUUAUUGCUUCUAGACCAGGCCCGGAGCAUCCUGAGAGGGUAGGGGAGAGGCCUGCCCGCUCGUUUACAAGCACUCACCCCCUCCGGGUCCCCCCUCCCCCGCGCGCGCGCCCCGUCCGCCCAG